GGAAGCAGGACAGCUUGGUGGUUAAUAUGAUGGCGGGGCCAGGCAGGCGAGCAUGAUCAGCUUGGGGGCUACUGGGAUGGCGCGGAGCCGGGCAGGUGAAUGAGGGCCAGCCGUGGGGAUACGGGGCGGCACGGAGCCGGGCUGGAGGGUACGGGUCAGCUUGUGGGGAUGCAGAAUAGCCUGAAGAAAGGCUGAACAAUAGGUGCGGGCUGGAGAGGCGCCUCGCUGGACAGACAGAGGGAACAGCUGGGACAUGGGCCAGCUGAGGCGGCGCGGAGCCGGCCUGGGGGGUACGGGACAGCAGAAUAGCCUGGAGAAAGGCUGAACGACAGGUGCGGGCUGGAGAGGCGCCUCGCUGGACAGACAGAGGGAACAGCUGGGACAUGGGCCAGCUGAGGCGGCGCGGAGCCAGCCUGGGGGUACGGGUCAGCUUGAGGGAGUGACUGAGAAGGCACAGAGCUAGUCAGGAGGGUGAAGGCCAGCUGGGUGUUACAGACUGGAAAGAAACCUUAAAUUAAGGGUGUAAAGGACAAAAGGGGAAAGAUAUGCGAAAUAUUGACAGGAUAACAUUCACUUGCAUGAGGUUGACCAACCACCACCAGAGAAUUGCGCAGUGCUCGUCUGGCACUGGAUGUUAGCGUAAGGCCAAGAGAGUACCUCGAGACUGGUGAACGUAGUCAAAACAGACUUUUUUUUUUCCCCUCAAGGUUGCGUGCAUGCAGGGCUUGGAACUACGAUGAGCAUGAAGAAAAAGCCGAGACUCAGAAUGGGGAUGAAAAACUGAGGAAAUAUACAGGCAGGAUGAGAUUAAGCUUGAAAUGGGUGACUUGUCUAAUAGCAGGACUGGACACAGCACAGGCAGGGAGAUAGCUUAUCGGCAAUGGUGUUAAAAUGACCAGAUGCAACAAGCAGGUAUGCUAAAUUAAAUGGUGGCGAUAGAAGACAUGAGACAGAUGGUGGAGGUUUGGCUUAUAGUUAAAACACAACUUAUAGUGAGCGAUGAUCGGGAUCACUUGCUGACAUUACUCUCCGGAAACAGGUUAGACAGUGAAACGAGUUAGAAAAUGCUGAGGACUUGAGCUGCUGAAAUGGAUGAUGCAAGCGAGAAUUCAUGGCUUGUUUAAUUGAUAAGGUCUGGAACGAUUGUACCGAGAUUGUCAUGGAGGGAUUUAAGUCAACUUCACGAUCUGUGGCCAGCAACUGAACAGCGUGUGAUGCCUCACAACUGAGGCAAAACUCCUAAUUACUGGAUGAUUAAUACGUACUCGUGCGCAGAGACAAUUGGCAAUAUGACUUGUAUUAUGACACAGUCAAAGACAGCAUAGUCUUCGGUUGACAAGUUGGCUGAUAAAGGAGCUGAAAUAAAAAAUGCGGUAGCCGACACACCCGAGACAAUGGGCUGCAUGGCUCUCAGUAGCUGAGUGCGCAUACGAGUGCUGAUAUAUGAAUGAGUAAUCCCUCUAGGCUGCCCCGACUCCAGACGAGUUAACAUGAGGGCAUGGCUUAUGGGGGCAGAAGGUACACUGCAGUAAAACUGCUCAUAUGAGGACAUUUCCAAAGCGUUCAAUAACGAGGGUCCUACACUCUUUAGAACAUAUCAGCGGGCUACAGGCCACUAGUCGACGAGCUGAAGGUGCUACAUUGUAUAAACCUUCAUUAAUUAACAUUGCCUACCUCCAACGCUUGCUCGACUCAGUCGGUUAAUUGAGGAAACUGUGCGAAGCUCUGCGUAUUUCUGGUUGCUGCCAUAAUUCGAACACACACGGAGCUGAGACAGCAGCAGCAGGUCUGUUUAGCUGUCGCACGGGGGUAAACCCGGUGAAGAAUCUUAGAGCUCGUAUGGCGUUUUAAAGCGCCUCCCUAAACACGACAAGUCGAUUCUUCAACAUGCAGUUAAAAGCCCUUGAGCAUAUUGGGCGCAGCCUGAGUGGCCUACGAGCUCGGGAGAGAAUAGGCUAAUUGAAAUGCAGUUCGUAAUAAUGCGAAUGAGACAUGAGAAUGCUACGUCUUACCCCGACAGCCCGAGACGGGCGUAGAGAGGGAAAUCCGGUCUUGUGUGCUGACCAUGGCGGCAUGCGGAAGAGAGAAGCUGUUGACGUGGCUGACCCAUCGCGUGGCAACGGUGUGAAGACGAUGCGAGAGCGGCGGUGGAGAAAUGGAGGGAGAAUGGAUGGUGAGCUGGGAGAAAAAGGUGACGUGGAUCGGUGCGGCGAGACCUUGGCGGGCGAAGGAAGACGGCCUUGCUGCUUCCGUCGGAUCCUCUCUUCGUUUCUGUCGUCUUUUACGUGGCAUAUUUUAACAGGCUGUCUCCUCCACGUAGAGCUCCGCAGUUAGCUAGCUGGACUCACUGACUGUGCGGGAAGCAAUUGCGUCGUGCGUCAUGGCAAAAGUUAAAAGGUAACGAGGUGACGGGGCUUAUUAUGACGUUUUUCGAAGGUGGGUCGAGGAGUACGGGAAACCCCAGAUAGGUGAGAGAUAGGCGGGUGAGCCUGCUUGAAAUAAUCGAGGCUGAGAUCGGGAGAAACAUCUCUUGCAACAGAGGAGCGUCUGAGGG
Molecule: long non-coding RNA, 2554 nt
Organism: Poecilia latipinna (sailfin molly)
Lineage: Eukaryota; Metazoa; Chordata; Actinopteri; Cyprinodontiformes; Poeciliidae
Exons: 2
Source: RefSeq, a predicted model, not a curated record